This 405-nucleotide unclassified non-coding RNA is filed under the name soil metagenome. Its description in RNAcentral is "partial contains 5.8S ribosomal RNA, internal transcribed spacer 2, and large subunit ribosomal RNA". The stretch from base 1 to 121 matches the Rfam family "5.8S ribosomal RNA", at positions 35 to 154 of the family's 154-position model. The record is from RNAcentral.
GAUGAAGAACGCAGCGAAAUGCGAUAAGUAAUGUGAAUUGCAGAAUUCAGUGAAUCAUCGAAUCUUUGAACGCACCUUGCGCCCUUUGGCCAUUCCGAAGGGCAUGCCUGUUUGAGUAUCAUGAACACCUCAACUCUUUAUGGUUUUCCAUGAUGAGCUUGGACUCUGGGGGUUUUGCUGGCUCACAGUUGGCUCCUCUAAAAUGAAUCAGCUUACCAGUGUUUGGUGGGUAUCAUGGGUGUGAUAACUAUCUACGCUUGUGGUUUUUCCACCAGGUAACCUUCAGCAGUGGAGGUUCGCUGGAGCUCAUAGAUGUCUCUCCUCAGUGAGGACAGCCCUUUGAAUGUUUGAUCUCAAAUCAGGUAGGACUACCCGCUGAACUUAAGCAUAUCAAUAAGCGGAGGA